AUGGUGGCUCCGCGCCCUCAAGAGCCCCUGGUGCUUUACCUCGCCGCCACUCCCUACUCCGCCAGCGCAGCCUUGGUGGCAGUCAGAGAGGAGCGCCGAAUCAAAACCGCGGCAGCAGCCCGGGACAAGGCAGAACAGGGACAAGGAAGGCCCAUAGAAACUGCCACCGUGGCUGAGGAGGAUCAGCCGCCGCAGAGGGGCGCACCGGAGGCGGAAGAGGCCCCACUCCCAGAUGGCCAGUCUCAGGAGGCCUCAUUGCCUCAAGAGGCGCCAUGGUCUCCGAAGGGAGCCACCAGCACUGACGCACUCCACCUCGUUGAGCACCCAGUGUACUUCGUCAGCACGGUGUUGCGGGAUGCAAGGGCACGGUACCCCAUGCCUCAGAAAAUCCUCCUUGCGCUACUGGUGGCCUCGCGCAAGCUGCGGCACUAUUUUCAAGGUCACCCCAUCAAGGUCGCCUCGUCAUACCCCCUGGAGAGAGUGCUCAGGAGCCCUAAUUCAGCUGGGAGGGUCGCUGAGUGGAACAUAGAACUGCAAGCGUUUCAGCUCGAAUUCAGCACGACCAAAGUCAUCAAGGGAGCAGCGUUGGCGAAUUUUGUGGCAGAAUGGACGGAGGCGCCAGUCCUCAAGGCCGACGAGGAUCGGUCCCUGUCCCCGGGAAGCGAGGCGCCAGAAGGCUGGGUCAUGUACUUCGAUGGGGCGUUCUCCAGGCAUGGCGCAGGGGCUAGGGCGGUGCUUAUAUCGCCCACUCAGGACAAGCUCUAUUACGCCGUGCAGCUCUGUUUCCAGCAAGGUGAAAAGGUCUCCAACAACAUAGCAGAGUAUGAAGGUUUAAUAGCGGGCUUGAAGGCCGCGGCUGCCCUGGGGGUGAAACGCCUCACCGUCAAGGGCGAUUCGUAG
This 900-nucleotide ribosomal RNA is filed under the name Triticum aestivum (bread wheat). Its description in RNAcentral is "partial small subunit ribosomal RNA". The record is from RNAcentral. Lineage: Eukaryota; Viridiplantae; Streptophyta; Magnoliopsida; Poales; Poaceae.